Long non-coding RNA from Chenopodium quinoa (quinoa), 1522 nucleotides. RefSeq lists it as uncharacterized. The transcript is spliced from 3 exons. Lineage: Eukaryota; Viridiplantae; Streptophyta; Magnoliopsida; Caryophyllales; Amaranthaceae. The record is from RefSeq and is a predicted model, not a curated record.
UUUGGUAACAUUUUUUGUAACACUUUAAUAUUAUGUAAAACUUUAUAGUAACACUUUGAUAUUAGGUAGCACUUGAUUGUAACAGUUUGUUUGUUUUGUCUUGAAUUUUUAUAUGCUCAAUCUUUUCUUAUUAAUUUUUUUUAAAGAGCUCAAUCUAUUUUUUGUGUUAUCAAUACUUCGCUUUUUUUUUUUUUUUUUUUUAAAAAAAAAUUUUCUUCUUCCUCCUAUUUCUUCCUCAAGCUUUCACUGUCUAUUUACACCGCACGUCCUUUCCUCAGGCUUCCACUGCUACCUCCUUCUCGCUCCUGGUUAUUCACCAUAGCCACCAUCCAUUGCAACUCGUGCUCCAAGCCGAAUACCUACACAACAGGCCGCGCUCCAAGUUAUAGAGAACAAUUGCCACCUCUAAUGACAGCGCGCGAUUGCCGCCUUCUGGCCUCCAUCCUCGGCAGCUUCCAUUUUAAUGUUAGGGUGGGUUGGUUUAGUUCCCUUUCUUUUCCAUUAUCAACAAGAAUUUGAUUUAGUCUGCAAACACCGCUAAAGCUUAAUCGAUGCAAAAAUCGGUAUGGUUUCCUGACCGUUCUGGAAGAAAUAGACAAGCUGAUGUUGGAAGAGAGUUUGAAAGGGAAUGAAAUGAAAUGAAUAGAUCUUUGUCACUCUUGGAUUAUUAUACCAGCUGCUAGUUGGCGCUAUCCACCUCACAAAGAUUUCAUGCCUAGGGUGCCUUCCAAGUAUAUUUGCGGUUCCAUGUAAUUGAUUGGAAUUAAUAGCAUUCCAGUUUUCUUUCACACGAGCUCUAAUAAAAGCACAAGUGCUUAAAGGAAUCUCUUCACCUCUUCCAAAAGCAAGGUUCUGAUGGGGAGUUGUUUUGUUCUCGCAAUAAAAAGCACUAAUUCUUAUUAUUGCCUUAUUUCAUUUUUGUUCUAGUUGUUUGAUAUAUGAUGCUUUCACACAUAUAUAGGAUCAAAUGGAUCUAGAUGAAGGAUUGGGAUAACAAGUGAUGAUGCCACAAGAAGUGUACUUGCAUAUAUCCCAUUUUGCUGCUGCUGUCACUUACUGCAACUGCUGUUUUACCGCUGCCACUUCUGUUUUACAGCUGUUACAUCUGUUUUUUUGCUGCUGUCGUUGUUGUUUUGAGAUGCUACUACUACUUUUAUGCUUCUAUGCUGUGUGUUGCUGACUUUUGCUACUGUUGUUUCUACCACUGCUAUUUGCUGCUGCUAUUUGCUACAAGUGCUUGCUGCUACAUACUACUUGCGGCUUCAUAAUACUUGCAGUUUCAUACUGCUCGCUGCUUCAAACUGCUGUCUGCUGUUGUCUUUUGUUGCUGCUACUCUCAUUCUGCUAGCUUGCUGCUCCUAUCGGCCGUUUCUGACUUUUUUAAAUUUGGAAGUUUUUCUUAUUUUCUCACUUUUUCCAAGCUAUAGAUCGAAGUUGAUUUUUUUAUAUAUAUAUAUUUUUGUUAUGAAUAUUAUCUUGUUUGGCCAAACAUUAAAAUUGGUGUUUAUAGAUUUUCUUUGAA